AAAAAAACCAUGUCGGACCUCGCAACAGUAACUAAGGGGUGCGGCUUGAUAAUGUCUCUAUUAUGACGUCACAAAGCAUGCAUUUAAAAAAUAGAGUCUUGUGUAUUUUGGUUCAGUCAUCGAUAUGGAUGUGUAUCAAGAAGUAGGUGUACCGGAGUUUGGUGCUCCUUGGCCCGCCAUGACGAUGCCCGAACAAGGAGUGAUUGGCCAAUUUACCAUUUUCUUCGCGCUUUUUCUUGGAGGACUAAAGGAUUUUCUCUUCUCUCUAGAAGAGGAAUGGUUUGGAGCAACCCAUCCUGGAGUGGGAUGGGAGCUCACUCUCCCUGCUGCCCUGGUUGUUUUUGGUGUGAUAUUACUAUGGAGGACCGUCCUUGCGAUCAAAAGCAGGAUACGUCUAUUUGAAGGACUAUGACGCACCAGUGAAAAGGUUGCGGGCAUGCCUGCAGUCCUCUCAAGAGGAUAGUCAGGAGCUGGAGGUAAGCAGUCAGAGAACUAUUAUUCCUCAACCCC
This is a long non-coding RNA of Oncorhynchus tshawytscha (Chinook salmon), 510 nucleotides long. NCBI's taxonomy places the organism in Eukaryota, Metazoa, Chordata, Actinopteri, Salmoniformes, Salmonidae. The record is from Ensembl.